CCUACGGGGGGCUGCAGUAGGGAAUAUUGCACAAUGGGCGAAAGCCUGAUGCAGCAACGCCGCGUGAGGGAUGAAGGCCUUCGGGUUGUAAACCUCUUUUAGUAGGGAAGAAGCGAAAGUGACGGUACCUACAGAAAAAGCACCGGCUAACUACGUGCCAGCAGCCGCGGUAAUACGUAGGGUGCAAGCGUUGUCCGGAAUUAUUGGGCGUAAAGAGCUCGUAGGCGGUUUGUCGCGUCUGCUGUGAAAAUCCGAAGCUCAACUUCGGACCUGCAGUGGGUACGGGCAGACUAGAGUGCGGUAGGGGAGAAGGGAAUUCCUGGUGUAGCGGUGGAAUGCGCAGAUAUCAGGAGGAACACCGAUGGCGAAGGCACUUCUCUGGGCCGUAACUGACGCUGAGGAGCGAAAGCGUGGGGAGCGAACAGGAUUAGAUACCCCGGUAGUC
Molecule: ribosomal RNA, 445 nt
Filed under: Candidatus Rhodoluna planktonica
Lineage: Bacteria; Bacillati; Actinomycetota; Actinomycetes; Micrococcales; Microbacteriaceae
Description: bacterial SSU rRNA
Rfam family: Bacterial small subunit ribosomal RNA
Source: RNAcentral